Molecule: ribosomal RNA, 475 nt
Filed under: uncultured bacterium
Lineage: Bacteria
Description: bacterial SSU rRNA
Rfam family: Bacterial small subunit ribosomal RNA
Source: RNAcentral
AGGACGACGCUGGCGGCGUGCUUCAGACAUGCAAGUCGAGCGGGCGGAGGUCGAACCGCAAGGGGAGGCUGAAGCUAGCGGCGAACGGGUGAGUAACACGUGGGUAAUCUACCCGGAAGACUGGGAUAACGGCCCGAAAGGGCCGCUAAUACCGGAUAAUAUCGCGGUCUCGCAUGAGGCUGCGAAGAAAGGCGAAAGCCACUUCGGAUGAGCCCGCGACCCAUCAGCUAGUUGGUGAGGUAACGGCUCACCAAGGCGACGACGGGUAGCCGGUCUGAGAGGAUGGUCGGCCACACUGGGACUGAGAUACGGCCCAGACUCCUACGGGAGGCAGCAGUCGGGAAUAUUGGGCAAUGGGCGAAAGCCUGACCCAGCGACGCCGCGUGAGGGAAGAAGGCCUUCGGGUCGUAAACCUCUGUCAUCGGGGACGAAGGAAGUGACGGUACCCGAGGAGGAAGCCCCUGCUAACUACGUG